UAAUACGUAGGGGCCUAGCGUUGUCCGGAUUUAUUGGGCGUAAAGAGCUCGUAGGCGGUUCGGCAAGUCAGGUGUGAAAUCUCCGCGCUCAACGCGGAGGAGCCACCUGAUACUGCCGUGACUUGAGUCCGGUAGGGGAGUGCGGAAUUCCUGGUGUAGCGGUGAAAUGCGCAGAUAUCAGGAGGAACACCAAUGGCGAAGGCAGCACUCUGGGCCGGUACUGACGCUGAGGAGCGAAAGCGUGGGGAGCAAACAGGAUUAGAUACCCUGGUAGUCCACGCCGUAAACGUUGGGCACUAGGUGUGGGACCCUAUCGACGGGUUCCGUGCCGUAGCUAACGCAUUAAGUGCCCCGCCUGGGGAGUACGGCCGCAAGGCUA
RNAcentral lists this ribosomal RNA (379 nucleotides) under uncultured bacterium. RNAcentral's name for it is "bacterial SSU rRNA". It matches the Rfam family "Bacterial small subunit ribosomal RNA", at positions 521 to 896 of the family's 1533-position model. The record is from RNAcentral.